UCCCGUAUGGCGCAGUGGUAGCGCGUCCCACUUGUACGUCAAGGUGAUGGGGAGGUCAGUCGUUCAACCCGGCUUGCGGGAA
This 82-nucleotide transfer RNA is filed under the name Tulasnella sp. 417. RNAcentral describes it as "tRNA-Thr". It matches the Rfam family "tRNA". From Rfam's summary of the family: Transfer RNA (tRNA) molecules are approximately 80 nucleotides in length. Their secondary structure includes four short double-helical elements and three loops (D, anti-codon, and T loops). Lineage: Eukaryota; Fungi; Basidiomycota; Agaricomycetes; Cantharellales; Tulasnellaceae. The record is from RNAcentral.